AUACGUAUGUCGCAAGCGUUAUCCGGAAUUAUUGGGCGUAAAGCGAGUCUAGGCGGCUUGUUAAGUCAGAUGUGAAAAUGCGGGGCUCAACUCCGUAUUGCGUUUGAAACUGGCAAGCUAGAGUACUGGAGAGGUGGGCGGAACUACAAGUGUAGAGGUGAAAUUCGUAGAUAUUUGUAGGAAUGCCGAUAGUGAAGACAGCUCACUGGACAGAUACUGACGCUAAAGCUCGAAAGCGUGGGGAGCGAACAGGAUUAGAAACCCUUGUAGUCC
RNAcentral lists this ribosomal RNA (273 nucleotides) under uncultured bacterium. RNAcentral describes it as "partial 16S ribosomal RNA". It matches the Rfam family "Bacterial small subunit ribosomal RNA", at positions 523 to 796 of the family's 1533-position model. The record is from RNAcentral.